GGAAGUAAAAGUCGUAGCAAGGUCUCUGUAGGUGAACCUGCGGAGGGAUCAUUCACACGAUUUAUCUUUAAAAACAAACUGUGAACUUUAAAUUUACUAUUCGUGUUGAAAUUAUUUUUAUAAUUUUUUUAACACUGUCAUUCGAUGAACAUUAGAUAGCUGGCUUGUUUUUACAAAAACUUUCUCAGCUGAUUUCUUGUUAGACUAAACAUCUAUUCAAAUAAUCAACCAAACAUAGAAACAACUCUAUGCCCUGGAUAUCUUGGUUCUC
Molecule: unclassified non-coding RNA, 271 nt
Filed under: plant metagenome
Description: partial contains small subunit ribosomal RNA, internal transcribed spacer 1, and 5.8S ribosomal RNA
Rfam family: Eukaryotic small subunit ribosomal RNA (bases 1-54)
Source: RNAcentral